UAUUUUUUGCGGGGGGACUUAUUGUUGAGAAGGUUAAAACCUGACCCUUUGAACCUGUUAGUUAAUACUAACGUAGGGAGGCAAGGCGUUUUAGCUU
This 97-nucleotide non-coding RNA is filed under the name Acetobacterium wieringae. RNAcentral describes it as "TPP sequence". It matches the Rfam family "TPP riboswitch aptamer (THI element)". From Rfam's summary of the family: Vitamin B(1) in its active form thiamin pyrophosphate (TPP) is an essential coenzyme that is synthesised by coupling of pyrimidine and thiazole moieties in bacteria. The previously detected thiamin-regulatory element, thi box was extended, resulting in a new, highly conserved RNA secondary structure, the THI element, which is widely distributed in eubacteria and also occurs in some archaea. Lineage: Bacteria; Bacillati; Bacillota; Clostridia; Eubacteriales; Eubacteriaceae. The record is from RNAcentral.